CCUACGGGAGGCAGCAGUGGGGAAUAUUGCUCAAUGGGGGAAACCCUGAAGCAGCAACGCCGCGUGGAGGAUGAAGGUUUUCGGAUUGUAAACUCCUUUUGUUAGAGAAGAUAAUGACGGUAUCUAACGAAUAAGCACCGGCUAACUCCGUGCCAGCAGCCGCGGUAAAACGGAGGGUGCAGGCGUUACUCGGAAGCACUGGGCGUAAAGCGCGCGUAGGCGGGAUAGCAAGUCAGAUGUGAAAGCCUAUGGCUUAACCAUAGAACUGCAUUUGAAACUGUUAUUCUAGAGUAUGGGAGAGGUAGGUGGAAUUCUUGGGGUAGGGGUAAAAUCCGUAGAGAUCAAGAGGAAUACUCAUUGCGAAGGCGACCUGCUAGAACAUAACUGACGCUGAUGCGCGAAAGCGUGGGGAGCAAACAGGAUUAGAUACCCCAGUAGUC
Molecule: ribosomal RNA, 440 nt
Filed under: uncultured bacterium
Lineage: Bacteria
Description: partial 16S ribosomal RNA
Rfam family: Bacterial small subunit ribosomal RNA
Source: RNAcentral